RNAcentral lists this long non-coding RNA (1045 nucleotides) under Felis catus (domestic cat). RNAcentral's name for it is "lncRNA (ENSFCAG00000047768.1)". The record is from RNAcentral. Lineage: Eukaryota; Metazoa; Chordata; Mammalia; Carnivora; Felidae.
UGAGAAAGACCACAUGUAGCAACCACAAAGACAUGUGUGAAAGGAAGUGAGUGUGUGUUAUCAAGAAAAAAAAUGUAGACAAUAUAGACAAAUUACCUUUCAAAUGUAAUUUUAUCCAAGUACAUAAAAGAAAUUUUUUACCCUGUUAUGAAUUUGAAAAAUAGAUUUAAACUUGGUUUCAAUUAGUACUGAUUCUUGGGGGGUGGGAUAGUAAGUUCAAGAUUUCUAAUAAUCUCUCAUUCUGAGGAUCAAGAAUUUUAUCAUAAGAAAUCAGAGCCAAGUUAUAAUCUAUAAAGAAAAUAGUCUUAUUUAGUUUUGGCUCCAGGUUUUCUUCACUAAAGAGAGCCAACAUUUCCUUCCAAGGGACUUCUAGGAUACAACAGGCCUAAUGUUUUAUAACGUGGCUACAUGUCUAUAUGUACAGUUUAAAAUCCAUGAAAAUGUUGCUUUUAAGUCAGGGUCCCUGAAAUGGACUUAAGGAAAAGAAUGUGAUUACAGAUGUUUGGCUGGCUGCUUAGUCGGGGUCUUCUAGGGGUAAUACUUUAAUUGAAUAACACCAACUAAGGUCUAGUCUUCCACUUAAGACAUUUAGAAACUCAAUUUGGUAAGUACAUUCUGAGAUAAUCAGUCUCUCUUGGACUGGUUCAUGUGAAUCCAAUUCAUAAGAGACUUAGGAGUUAUAUUUAGUCUCCUUCUCUGUGCUCUAGGCACUCUGGACUUUGUCCUGCCAAAUAUAAUCCCACCUCACAGCUUUUUAACUAUAUCUUCCCUAUGUCUGAAAUUCUCAAUCUUCAUAUCUCUGUUUCCAACUUGGUAAAAAUGUUGGAAGUUUUUUUUUCACAAAGCGUCACACAUGGAUAAAGUUGAGUAGAGGUAAAAGUAAUUUUCUAAAUAAGGAUAUGAUCCAGGUGCCCACAUUAGAAACUUCAGGACUGACUAAGGACUAGUCAAUCUUGGCAAAAUUUUGCAAGUGACUCAGAUGCACUGCCAUGAUUGAGGACUACUCUGGGAUGAAGUCUGUUCAAGAUUAAAGUGGAAAGGAACA